This 253-nucleotide ribosomal RNA is filed under the name uncultured bacterium. Its description in RNAcentral is "partial 16S ribosomal RNA". It matches the Rfam family "Bacterial small subunit ribosomal RNA", at positions 524 to 776 of the family's 1533-position model. The record is from RNAcentral.
UACGUAGGGCGCAAGCGUUAUCCGGAAUUAUUGGGCGUAAAGAGCUCGUAGGCGGUUUGUCGCGUCUGCCGUGAAAGUCCGGGGCUCAACUCCGGAUCUGCGGUGGGUACGGGCAGACUAGAGUGAUGUAGGGGAGACUGGAAUUCAUGGUGUAGCAGUGAAAUGCGUAGAUAUCGUGGAGAACACCCGUGGCGAAGGCGGGCUUCUGGGUAAUAACUGACGCUGAGGUGCGAAAGCGAGGGGAGCGAACGGG